RNAcentral lists this long non-coding RNA (237 nucleotides) under Pan troglodytes (chimpanzee). Its description in RNAcentral is "long non-coding RNA NONPTRT004887". The record is from RNAcentral. Lineage: Eukaryota; Metazoa; Chordata; Mammalia; Primates; Hominidae.
CCGGGCUGGAGUACAGAGGUGCAAUCUCAGCUCACUGCAACCUCCGCCCCCCAGGUUCAAGCAAUUCUCCUGCCACAGCCUCCUGAAUAGCUGGGAUUACAGGUCACAUUCGUGGUACCAGAGAUGAGAACUUCAACAUUAUCUUUCUGAGGGAUACAACUCAACCCUGAACACCUGCUUACACAGGAAACGCACAGAGCGCCACAAGACAUCCAGCCACCGGACUGUGGGAAUAAG